GACGAACGCUGGCGGCGUGCUUAACACAUGCAAGUCGAGCGGUAAGGCCCUUCGGGGUCCACGAGCGGCGAACGGGUGAGUAACACGUGAGUAAUCUGCCCAUCACUUCGGGAUAACUCCGGGAAACCGGUGCUAAUACCGAAUAUGACCACUUCAGGCAUCUGAUGGUGGUGGAAAGUUCCGGCGGUGAUGGAUGAGCUUGCGGCCUAUCAGCUUGUUGGUGGGGUAGUGGCCUACCAAGGCUUCGACGGGUAGCCGGCCUGAGAGGGUGACCGGCCACACUGGGACUGAGACACGGCCCAGACUCCUACGGGAGGCAGCAGUGGGGAAUAUUGGACAAUGGGCGAAAGCCUGAUCCAGCAACGCCGCGUGAGGGAUGACGGCCUUCGGGUUGUAAACCUCUUUCAGCAGGGACGAAGCGCAAGUGACGGUACCUGCAGAAGAAGCACCGGCCAACUACGUG
This 463-nucleotide ribosomal RNA is filed under the name uncultured bacterium. RNAcentral describes it as "partial 16S ribosomal RNA". It matches the Rfam family "Bacterial small subunit ribosomal RNA", at positions 28 to 507 of the family's 1533-position model. The record is from RNAcentral.